CAACAUUCAAUUCCGAGUUCUAUCCUUGAAGAUACAUUGAAAACAUAUUUUUAUUAAAAUUGAAAAGAUUAUAAAAGUAUUUCUGGCAGCCCUGUCUACGUCAUUCUGUUGCAUUAGCGAACUGCGUUUCUUGGUAGCCAUCUGAAAAUCGCACGAAAAUGUCCGCCUGGAGAGCAGCUGGUUUAAACUACAUAAACUAUUCUAACAUUGCCGCUCGUCUGGUCCGUCAGGCUUUGAAGUCGGAACACAGAGCUCAAGCUGCGCGGCGCGAUGAUUCGCAUAUCAAAUUCACCAAAUGGAUCAAUGGAAAGCCGGAAAAACUGGCCGCUGAAAAUUAGGGCCUCAUUCUCACAGUCACAUCACCGGCUCUGUGUAGAUUCUAUGAGAAUAAAAAAAUAAGUUCAUAAUCAUAAUUAUUCGUAUGGAAAAAAGGGGUACAGGAAUUGUCCUCGCUUGUCCAUGGUGGGGGAGCCAAAAAUGAAGAUUAACUGUAAAGUUUGACAUGAUGUACGAUUAAAUCGUUUUAAAUAUUCUAUGUGUAAAACCCUUUAUACAAUAAAAGUGUGCACUC
RNA transcript from Topomyia yanbarensis, 571 nucleotides. It is a transcript of the gene named protein stunted-like, with no coding region annotated. The transcript is spliced from 5 exons. The record is from RefSeq and is a predicted model, not a curated record. NCBI's taxonomy places the organism in Eukaryota, Metazoa, Arthropoda, Insecta, Diptera, Culicidae.